This 78-nucleotide ribosomal RNA is filed under the name bacterium. RNAcentral's name for it is "partial 16S ribosomal RNA". The stretch from base 1 to 67 matches the Rfam family "Bacterial small subunit ribosomal RNA", at positions 1467 to 1533 of the family's 1533-position model. The record is from RNAcentral.
GGAGAUGAUUGGGGUUAAGUCGUAACAAGGUAUCCGUAGCGGAAGCUGCGGAUGGAUUACCUCCUUUCUAGGGAGAAA